UGUUCCUCUAAAUCCUCCUCCUGCUCCCGGAGCGUAAAGUGCACUCAGGUGUGCAGCAGGUCGAGGGAGGAGAGAGAGCCAGGGAGAGACAACAUGGCCGCACAUAACUCAGUCCAAUCAGCAACCGUGCAGAAGUGAAAUCCUCCUCUCCAGACAUUUCUUGGUCCAUGACGUCCCCCCUGAAGGAGCGCCGCUUCAGCGGUUUCUGUAAGCCGAUGCUUUCUUGCUGGAGUGUGGAGGGAGUCGGCGCAUGGAGAGAGGGGGGGGCACCCUGACGAAGCAUGGAGGAGGAAGAAUGAGGCGUGAGGCUGAAUCAAAGAGCUGACUCGUCUCGUGCUGUGAGAUGGAAACAGUCAAAGCAGAUGGAUGGCGUGCUGCAGAGGGACAAACGUGAAGCUUCCUGUCUCAUGACACAUGAGAAAAUGAAAUCUUAAUUCUUCUCACCAGCUCG
Molecule: long non-coding RNA, 451 nt
Organism: Labrus mixtus (cuckoo wrasse)
Lineage: Eukaryota; Metazoa; Chordata; Actinopteri; Labriformes; Labridae
Exons: 3
Source: RefSeq, a predicted model, not a curated record